RNAcentral lists this transfer RNA (90 nucleotides) under compost metagenome. RNAcentral's name for it is "tRNA-Asp". The record is from RNAcentral.
ACCACCUCGCCCGGGUCGUUCAGGUUGCCGCUGUCGUCGGAGUGGUGGAUGCGCAUGCCGACCCAGUGGUGCGGCAUCCACUGGGUGGAG